UGAACUUAUUGAACUGAAUCAAAUUGAAAUGUGUCGAUAGGAAAUAGGAUGUAAGAAGCAUGUAUCUUGCAAACACAAAGUACAGAUAAUUUAUCUAAAAUUGAUGUAGAAAUAAGCCUCAAGUUCUCUACAUUGAGGUGAUAGAAUACUAAUGUAAGCACAGUAGCCAGAGGGCUACUCCCAUGAAAACAGAAACUUUGUGUCAUGUAUAUUGAUUCACAUGGAAUGCUCUGCUACUCUGAUUCUUGCAACUCUAGGCUGUUAUAAAAACAGACCAUCAGAAUAUGUUUUUCAAGGAAAAGUGCUGCAGAGACUGGGGUCUUUUUUCUUAAAUGUCAUUGAAUGAGCAAUAGCUGGAGCAGUUGUCAAGGGCUGGCUUCCUGCAUCACAAGGGAAGGGUUUGGAAGAGCAGACUGGAUCACAUCCCAGGAGACAUGGGUAUCUGUGACAGAAGGAAGGCAUCUGAAGCCUCCUGAGUGUCACGAGGAGCCAAACCAGAUCCAAAGAUGAAAGCAUCUUUUUCAUUCCCCUGUUUGACCCACAAGGGACACAGCUUGUGCUCUAACUGCUAUACCCUGUUAGUGUUGCUAAUACCAUUUGUUGCUACAUGGUUGCAAGAUGGUGAUCAAGCCACCAGCAUCAUAGAUGAGAUAGAAGAAGAGAAGCCUGAGGAAGUAAGCAGCAGAGUCCCAUCUUUCAUCAGAAGAGGACAGCUACCUCAAACGCAUCCAGAAAGCUCAUUGCAAUUGAUUCCAAAAAGUAUUUGAUGCAUGUCAAUGUGGUAUGAAGAAUAGAAAAAUACUCUCUGGACUUGAUGUCAAUAAUCUAUUACAACUUCCCAGGGAGCAUUGCACUGAACAGACAAUGUAGAAGAGUGCUAUGGAUUCAGUGACCAGUAAGUAGCAAAACUUCAUCUAUGUUGUGGAAUACUACUAAGCUAUUAAUGAAAAUGAUAAAGUGGAUUUUCAAGUAAUGAUAUGAUGACAUGUGUAAGAAGUAUUAUUCAAAUGAAAAAAAUAGGCCACAUACAACCAACUUUCAUUUUCUUUAAAAACGUGAAUAUUUUUAACAUUCAUAACCAAAGUUGAGCGUGCUAUACAGAGGAGUUAAGCUCCCUGCACCCACAGCCUGGCCUGUGCUGCAAACUGGAAAUACUCUCUCUUCAACCUUUUCUCAGUUUGGGUAAAUAAAUUCCCUGAGCAAAAUGGUGCUUGAUACA
RNAcentral lists this long non-coding RNA (1219 nucleotides) under Mus spicilegus (steppe mouse). Its description in RNAcentral is "lncRNA (ENSMSIG00000016023.1)". The record is from RNAcentral. Lineage: Eukaryota; Metazoa; Chordata; Mammalia; Rodentia; Muridae.